AACGAACGCUGGCGGCAUGCCUAACACAUGCAAGUCGAACGAUGCCUUCGGGCAUAGUGGCGCACGGGUGAGUAACGCGUGGGAACCUGCCCUGUGGUACGGAAUAACUCCGGGAAACUGGAGCUAAUACCGUAUGUGUUCCCUGGGACAAAGAUUUAUCGCCACGGGAUGGGCCCGCGUAGGAUUAGCUUGUUGGUGGGGUAACGGCCUACCAAGGCUACGAUCCUUAGCUGGUCUGAGAGGAUGAUCAGCCACACUGGGACUGAGACACGGCCCAGACUCCUACGGGAGGCAGCAGUGGGGAAUAUUGGACAAUGGGCGCAAGCCUGAUCCAGCAAUGCCGGGUAAGUGAUGAAGGCCUUCGGGUUGUAAAGCUCUUUCGCACGCGACGAUGAUGACGGUAGCGUGAGAAGAAGCCCCGGCUAACUUCGUG
RNAcentral lists this ribosomal RNA (433 nucleotides) under uncultured bacterium. RNAcentral's name for it is "partial 16S ribosomal RNA". It matches the Rfam family "Bacterial small subunit ribosomal RNA", at positions 29 to 507 of the family's 1533-position model. The record is from RNAcentral.